Molecule: small nuclear RNA, 18 nt
Filed under: Arabidopsis thaliana (thale cress)
Lineage: Eukaryota; Viridiplantae; Streptophyta; Magnoliopsida; Brassicales; Brassicaceae
Description: snRNA_15960
Source: RNAcentral
UCCAAGGCUAAAUACGGG